AUACGGAGGGGACAAGCGUUAUUCGGAAUCACUGGGCGUAAAGGACGCGUAGGCGGGUUAUUAAGUCGGGUGUGAAAUCCUACAGCUCAACUGUAGAACUGCAUUCGAAACUGAUAACCUAGAGUAUGGAAGGGGCAGGUGGAAUUAGUGGUGUAGGGGUAAAAUCCGUAGAUAUCACUAGGAAUACCGAAAGCGAAGGCGACCUGCUGGGACAUUACUGACGCUGAGGCGUGAAAGCGUGGGGAGCAAACAGGAUUAGAAACCCCGGUAGUCC
Molecule: ribosomal RNA, 274 nt
Filed under: uncultured bacterium
Lineage: Bacteria
Description: partial 16S ribosomal RNA
Rfam family: Bacterial small subunit ribosomal RNA
Source: RNAcentral